GUGUCAGCAGCCGCGGUAAUACAGAGGGUGCGAGCGUUAAUCGGAAUUACUGGGCGUAAAGGGUGCGUAGGUGGUUAUUUAAGUCAGAUGUGAAAUCCCUAGGCUCAACCUAGGAAUUGCGUUUGAGACUGGAUAGCUAGAGUGUAGUAGAGGGAAGUGGAAUUUCCGGUGUAGCGGUGAAAUGCGUAGAUAUCGGAAGGAACAUCAGUGGCGAAGGCGACUUCCUGGACUGUUACUGACACUGAGGCACGAAAGCGUGGGGAGCGAACAGGAUUAGAAACCCUAGUAGUCC
RNAcentral lists this ribosomal RNA (292 nucleotides) under uncultured bacterium. Its description in RNAcentral is "partial 16S ribosomal RNA". It matches the Rfam family "Bacterial small subunit ribosomal RNA", at positions 505 to 796 of the family's 1533-position model. The record is from RNAcentral.